AUGAAAACCCAAAAAGCAAUCAGCUCCCUGAGCCUAUCCAAGCACGCGAGCAGAACAUCAACACAAGGAUGGCUCUCGUCAAUGGCGAGGGGGCGCGCCAUCAAGGUCUGGGAGGCGCGGCGGCGGCGGUCGUCCGGGUCUGGAAGGCGCCAGCGGCGGUCGUCCGGGUCUGGAAGGCGGCGGCGGCGGUCGUCCGGGUCUGGGAGGCGCCGGCCGCGGUCGUCCGGGUCUGGGAGGCGGCGGCGGCUUCCGAGUCUGGGAGGCGACGGCGGGCGGUCGUCGGGGUGCCAGACCAUUGGUGGCCACGCCGGCAAGGCGGGGGCGCGCCAUAGGGCACUAGGAGGCGGUGGAGAGCGAUUGGCGCGACGUCCUUGGCGCUCGUCGAUGGCGGCGGCAUCCACGACGCGACGUCCUUGGCGCUCGUCGAUGGCGAUGGCCGCGCUCAUCCACGGCGCGACGUACAUGGUCGAUCCAGGCGGCCUGUAG
RNAcentral lists this ribosomal RNA (486 nucleotides) under Triticum aestivum (bread wheat). RNAcentral's name for it is "partial small subunit ribosomal RNA". Lineage: Eukaryota; Viridiplantae; Streptophyta; Magnoliopsida; Poales; Poaceae. The record is from RNAcentral.